This 377-nucleotide ribosomal RNA is filed under the name uncultured bacterium. Its description in RNAcentral is "bacterial SSU rRNA". It matches the Rfam family "Bacterial small subunit ribosomal RNA", at positions 524 to 898 of the family's 1533-position model. The record is from RNAcentral.
UACGAGGGGUGCGAGCGUUAUUCGGAAUCAUUGGGCGUACAGGGUGCGUAGACGGUAUAUUAAGUCAACUGUUAAAUUCCCCGGCCUAACUGGGGGCAUGCAGUAGAUACUGAUGUGCUAGAGGGUGGAAGAGAGAAGUGGAAUUCUCGGAGUAGCGGUAAAAUGCGUAGAUCUCGAGAGGAACACCGAUGGCGAAGGCAGCUUCUUGGUCCAUACCUGACGUUGAGGCACGAAAGCGUGGGGAGCAAACAGGAUUAGAUACCCUGGUAGUCCACGCCGUAAACGAUGAUCACUAGACGUUAGUUCUCUUUAAGGGAAUUAGUGUCGUAGCUAACGCGUUAAGUGAUUCGCCUGGGGACUACGGUCGCAAGACUAAA